AUAGUGGUUCCUAGCUUCUUGACUCCGAUUCUUGGAGAACUUUUUUCGGUAACAUGACUCCGAUAAAUGGAUGGGGGGAGUACUAAUAUACUACAAGUUUAGAACAUGAAACUUGUGUCAAUGGUUUUCUAUUCAAAGGUGCAUUUGACAAUAUAUUGAUUCAUUUGUAGAUGACAACAUAUAGUAAGAUAAAUUGGCAAUCAAAAUCUAUUUGGCUUGACUUGUUUUUCAAUGAUCAAAAUACGCCUAUCAUUCCGGGCCAGGAAUUUUAUACUAUUAAUUGGAGGUUCUUAAUGGAGACUCCAAGUUAAUCCUAAAAAUAUGUACUAGAUAAAAAGAUAAAUACAAUAACUUUAAAAAUCAGAAAGAUCUAACACCAUUAAUUCGAUAGAUUCUAAUCGUCGUUUGAUCUAUUCUACUUUAAAAAAAAUCAUCCAACUCCACCAAAUGAAAAGCAACAUAAAGUAACCAUUAAAUCCACAUCUAAAUUACCCACAUCUACCAUUUUGAAAAAAAAAACAUAAAAUAACCACAUAAUACUUGAAAGCCCAAGUUUGGUUUUGGUAAUUAAUGACACCAAGUUGCUAAUGCUUUAUGUUUAAGUGAUUAGAGAUAGGCAUAGCAACACAUGUGACGAAGGUGCAUGGUGGCAUGGGAAGGUGGCCACAUGAUCACAAAGAGAUGAAGCAUGAAGUGGAGAUCAUGAUGAUAGACAAGGGAGAAAGUGAACAAAGCAAAGCUAUAAACAUAGGGUUUUACUUUUGCCGGUCUAAGAUGAGUAGAGAAGUGAUUGACUAAAUUUAGGAU
This 807-nucleotide long non-coding RNA is filed under the name Sorghum bicolor (sorghum). Its description in RNAcentral is "long non-coding RNA (SBIC_LNC015204)". The record is from RNAcentral. Lineage: Eukaryota; Viridiplantae; Streptophyta; Magnoliopsida; Poales; Poaceae.